This 830-nucleotide ribosomal RNA is filed under the name uncultured fungus. Its description in RNAcentral is "eukaryotic LSU rRNA". The stretch from base 1 to 241 matches the Rfam family "Eukaryotic small subunit ribosomal RNA", at positions 1593 to 1831 of the family's 1831-position model. The record is from RNAcentral. Lineage: Eukaryota; Fungi.
UUGCUCUUCAACGAGGAAUGCCUAGUAAGCGCAAGUCAUCAGCUUGCGUUGAUUACGUCCCUGCCCUUUGUACACACCGCCCGUCGCUACUACCGAUUGAAUGGCUCAGUGAGGCCUUGGGACUGGCUCAGAGAGGUCGGCAACGACCACUCAGAGCCGGAAACUUGGUCAAACUUGGCCAUUUAGAGGAAGUAAAAGUCGUAACAAGGUUUCCGUAGGUGAACCUGCGGAAGGAUCAUUAAAGAGUUAGGGUCUUCUAGGCCCGACCUCCCAACCCUUUGAUUAUUGAACCUCAGUUGCUUCGGCGGACCCGUCUUUAUUGACCGCCGGAGGAUCGUCCCAGGGCGUCCUCUGGCCCGCGUCCGCCGAUGGCCAACCUCUAAACUCUUGAAUAAUCGUGUCCUAUGUCUAAGUCAAAUGAUAAAUUAAAGCAAAACUUUCAACAACGGAUCUCUUGGUUCUGGCAUCGAUGAAGAACGCAGCGAGAUGCGAUAAGUAAUGCGAAUUGCAGAAUUCCAGUGAGUCAUCGAAUCUUUGAACGCACAUUGCGCCCUUUGGUAUUCCGAAGGGCAUGCCUGUUCGAGCGUCAUUAUCAUCCCUCAAGCCUGUGCUUGGUGUUGGACGGCUUGGUCGCGCCCCCGGGCGGGACCCCUCCUAAAGACAAUGACGGCGGCCUGUGGUUCCCCCGGUACACUGAGCUUUUCAUCGAGCACGUAUCGGACAAGGGCGCCCAGGACCCGGUCCCCCGUCUCGCGAGAGACACUUCUCAAGGUUGACCUCGGAUCAGGUAGGAAUACGCGCUGAACUUAAGCAUAUCAAUAAGCGGAGGA